AAAAAAAGUAGAGCCUUGGAGGAAGGAGUUAGCGUGUAGAAAUUGUGCAAUACUGGGGAUGGGAGAAUUGGAUAAGGAUAUCAACAAAACAGCAAAGUUAAGAGAGAGAGAGAGAGAGAGCACUAAUUUGUUUGAUGAGUGGGACUAUGGCUUUUUCUACUCUUUAGCUCAUCAUGAUAUGAUGUAAUUUUCAUUUUGGUUUUUGUUUUGUUUUGUUUUGUUUUUGGGUCUAUUUUCUUAUCCAUUUUCUCAACAAAGAGUUGCAUCAAUUUGAGUGGAUAUGUAAAUGAAAAAAAUAAAAAAUAAAAAUAAAAAAUUAAAUGGAUAGAGAAAGAGAGAUAAUGGGGAAACUUCCAUAUCCAUUUUUACCAUUCUAUUGCUUAUACUAAGCCCUCUCUUUCUUCUUUUCUCUUCUCUUCAGCUUCUUCCAUGAGUUCAUUCUUUGUUGGGUUUUCUUCUUCUUCUUCUUCUUCUCCUUCUUCUUCUUCAGCUGCAAUUUCCACUGCUAUUUUAAAUCAUUUGAAUGUGUUUCUGCUUUAUAGAUCUUUGCAGGUUUGUUAUCUCAAAGGUCAAAUAUUGAUACCCACAUAAUUGAAAUGCUUGUUUUCUCUGUUUUUUGAUAACUUGGGUAUUGUUGGAUUCAUUUGCUGGGUUUUGGGGUUUGAGGGUUUGUUUCUUUUCUUUUUUUGAUUAACUAAGUUUGGGAAUCUUUUGAGGGUUGUGUUUGGACCAAUUCCUUUUUCUGGGUUUUGGUGGGCAGCUAUAGGAUAAAAACCAAAUUCUGUUUUUUUUUAAGUUAUUAGAAAUUGAGAAUCUUAGGAUUCUUUUUUGUAGGUAUGUGAAUUUCUUAUCCCUUAAUCAAAAGAAAAUUUUGGCUCUUACUAUAGUGUUAUUGUUUUCAACUCAUCUGGUUUGGCUAGGUGGAUAAGAAAGCAUCUUCUUUCCCAUACAUCCUUUGAAAUCAUUUUCAAUCUGUAGUUUGGUUUUUAUCUCUUUCAUUUUUUUUCACACUUUCUUCUUCUUCUUCUUCUUCUUCUUCUUCUCUUCAUCACCAUCAUACCUUGAAUUUGGAUCGUUUUUGUUUUUCCCCCAUGUCCAAGUGUUGGGUUUAAUUAGACAUUUCCCUGUAGAUUUGACAGUGGGUCUCUCUUCUCUUUCUCUCUCUUUCUAAUAUUUCUUAACUGAGUUUAAGAAAGAGGUCAGACCCACCUCAUCACUUUGUCCAGUUUAAUUUGUGUCGGCUACUGGAUUGAAUGAGUUCUGCUUCAUGUUUUUGGGGUUUAGCUCAAACUUAGGGCAUCUUCUCUUUAUGCUUAUGUUUAUAAGAAGUUGUAGUUUAUAUGGUUGAUUAGAUUUCUUCCAUGAACUGGUUCAUUAAUGGUGGAGUUAUGGAAACUAAGGCUGGUUUGCUUGGUGGGGGUGGGAAGAUAUGGCUUCAAUUAUGGGAAACUGUCAUUGGGAAUUGUUGCAAGAUGCAUCACCAAUAUUAUCAGUAUAUCGGAUCCAAGAAAGUUAAAAAAACAUGGUGGAGAAGGCUUUUAGUGGCUUGGGUUCUUAGCUCUACUCUUGCUUCUUUAUGGAUCUUUCAUUACAUGAGCUCUCAAGCUACAGAGAAGAGAAAAGAAGCCUUGGGAAGUAUGUGUGAUGAGAGAGCUAGGAUGCUUCAAGAUCAGUUUAAUGUUAGUAUGAAUCAUAUUCAAGCAAUGUCCAUUCUCAUCUCUACCUUUCAUCAUGGCAAGAACCCAUCUGCUAUAGAUCAGAGGACCUUUGCGAGAUACACGGAAAGAACUGCUUUUGAGAGGCCUCUUACUAGUGGUGUGGCGUAUGCAGUAAGGGUGCUUCAUUCUGACAGAGAACAUUUUGAGAAGCAACAAGGCUGGACGAUUAAAAGGAUGGACAAAAUCGAACAAAGUCCAGUUCAUGAAGAUGACUAUGCUCCAGAAGAUCUGGAGCCAUCACCCACCCAAGACGAAUAUGCUCCUGUAAUCUUUGCACAGGAUACAAUUUCUCAUGUCGUUUCUCUUGAUAUGCUGUCUGGAGUGGAAGACCGUAAGAAUGUAUUACGUGCUAGAGCAUCGGGAAAGGGAGUCUUAACUGCUCCAUUCAAGUUAAUCAAAACAAAUCGUCUUGGGGUCAUACUUACAUUUGCGGUCUAUAAAAGAGAUCUUCCCUCAAAUGCCACCCCAAAUGAGAGGAUUCAAGCUACAGAUGGGUAUCUUGGCGGAGUUUUUGAUAUCGAGUCACUGGUGGAGAAGUUACUUCAACAGCUUGCAAGCAACCAAACUAUCCUAGUGAAUGUUUAUGAUACCACUAACCAAUCACAUCCAAUCAGUAUGUAUGGUAAAGAUGUAUCUGAAGAUGGGUUGCAGCAUGUUAGUCCCCUGAACUUUGGGGAUCCAGAUAGGAAACAUGAGAUGCGAUGCAGAUUCAAACAAAAACAACCUUGGCCUUGGUUGGCAAUGACAACUUCAAUUGGCAUACUCAUUAUUGCCUUGCUUUUGGGGUAUAUAUUCCAUGCAACCUUGAACCGGAUUGCCAAAGUGGAGGAUGAUUAUCAUGAGAUGAUGGUACUCAAGAAACGGGCAGAAGAUGCUGAUAUUGCCAAAUCCCAGUUCCUUGCAACUGUUUCCCAUGAGAUCAGAACUCCUAUGAAUGGUGUUCUAGGAAUGUUGCAUUUGCUUAUGGACACAGACUUAGAUGUGACUCAACAAGAUUAUGUUAAAACUGCACAAGACAGUGGAAAAGCUUUGGUAUCAUUGAUAAACGAAGUUUUGGAUCAGGCAAAAAUCGAAUCUGGAAAGCUUGAGCUUGAAGCUAUACCUUUCAAUCUCCGAGCAGUUUUGGAUGAUAUUUUAUCACUCUUUUCCGGGAAAUCGCAAGAAAAAGGAUUGGAGCUGGCAGUUUACAUUUCAGAUAGUGUUCCUGAGACGCUUGUUGGUGAUCCUGGAAGGUUUAGGCAAAUCAUCACUAAUCUUGUGGGAAACUCGAUUAAGUUCACAGAAAAAGGACACAUAUUUGUCACUGUUAAUCUCGUCAAGGAGGUUAUUGAAUCGAUUGAUCUUGAGAUUGAGUCGUCAACAAAUAGCACCUUGAGUGGUUAUCCUGUUGCGAAUAGACGUCUCAGCUGGGCAGGGUUUCGAACGUUCAGUCAAGAGGGAUCGACUGCUUGUCAUUUCAUGACAUCUCCACCUGACCUUAUUAACCUCAUGGUAUCCGUGGAAGAUACAGGUGUCGGUAUUCCUCUAGAAGCCCAAUCACGCAUUUUCACUCCCUUCAUGCAGGUUCGACCAUCCAUCUCUAGAACUCAUGGGGGAACGGGUAUUGGGCUGAGUAUUAGUAAAUGUUUGGUUGGCCUCAUGAAGGGGGAGAUUGGUUUUGUGAGUGUACCUAAGGUUGGCUCUACCUUCACAUUCACUGCCGUUUUCACAAACGGCUCGACAAGUGAGUAUAACAACACACAACAAAUUAAGAACACUUCCAUCAGUGCAACCUCAGAAUUUAAGGGUAUGAGAGCCUUAGUUGUGGACCAUCAACCCAUACGGGCCAAAGUAUCGAGAUAUCACAUCCAACGACUUGCAAUAAAUGUUGAAGUCUUAUCUGACUUGAAUCAAUGUCUAUCUACCACGACUAUUAGUGGUUCGACUGUCAAUAUGAUUUUUGUUGAGCAGAAAAUUUGGGAUCAGGGUAUGAGCACAUCGGAACAUUUUAUCAAAAACUUGAGAAAUUCUUAUGCAGUUCCUCCCAAACUAUUUCUCCUUACUAGCUCCAUUAGUUCUUCAAAAGCUAGCACUAUGAUCUCUGAUGUAUUCACUCCCACUGUCAUCUUAAAGCCAUUGAGGGCAGGCAUGCUUGCUGCCUCUCUACACCGAGUCAUGAGUGUGGGGAUCAAGGGUAACCCUCGCAACGGAGAGCUUCCUGUUCUCUCACUCCGCAAUUUACUUCUUGGUCGAAAAAUUCUGGUAAUAGAUGACAAUAAGGUGAAUCGUAUUGUCGCUGCUGGUGCUCUACAGCGAUAUGGAGCUGAUGUGGUAUGUGAAAACAGUGGACGAGAUGCAAUCCGACUGCUUACGCCACCCCAUCAUUUUGAUGCUUGUUUCAUGGAUAUUCAGAUGCCAGAAAUGGAUGGCUUUGAAGCUACAAGAAGAAUUCGGGAAAUUGAACAUCGAAUCAAUGAUGGUAUCCAAGUCGGAGAACUAUCAAAAGAAGCAUACGAGAAUACGUGUUAUUGGCGUGUACCCAUCUUGGCCAUGACAGCAGAUGUAAUCCAGGCUACACAUGAGGAAUGUCUUCGAUGUGGGAUGGAUGGGUACGUUUCGAAACCAUUUGAAGUUGAGAGACUUUACCGAGAAGUUUCUCAAUUUUUCCACAGUACCUCAAAUGGAACUUUAUAGAGAGCAAUCGUAUAAUCCGAGAUUGCCAAUGACAUUGGCCUGUUCAGUCAGGAAUGUACAGCAUGCUUAAAAGGGUGUAGAUUACCGCCGAUCGAAGGUGAAUCGACUUCUUGGAUUGCUUCAUAUUAUGCCAGGCAAGCCUAGAUUUUGUGGAAGAGUGUAAAUAAGUAGACAGACAUGAGUGGUCAGGUGGAGUUCUCGUCACCCGACGAAUGAGAAACGUCGCUAUAUUUUUUCGAAGGUCAGAAAUUCAAGAUUUAUUUGGAAGCGGAAUGAUUCAUCAGGGACUUUCUUAUAUGAAAGUAAUUAAAGUCUCUGUGGUUUGCAAUCUUUUUUUCCUAUAUUUUUAUGAUCAUCCUACAAGUUGCUCAUCAAAGGGAUCAAGAAAUGGCAGUGUAGAUAUCAAUUUGGAUGGAGGAAGAAUGUGGGGUGGCAACUAGAAGAAAAAAAAGAAAAGCUUUGUAUAUUAAAAAAUAUGUUUGAUUUGUAUUCUCACAACUUUACUUUUCUUCUCUUUUUCUUUUAGCUAAUUUUGUUGUAUACUUUUCUAUUUCAGAUGAAAAUAGGACAAAAACUUCACACACUAUAAGAUUUGAACAAAAAAAAAAUGAUAAUGUACAUUUCUUGGUGACAAUUCCCAUUCCUUCAGGUCAGUGUUCUGUAUAAAAUUGUUUAUUUAGCGUGAGGCUGAAGAGUGUUAGAUUUUGAGUGGAUAUUCCAAGAAAAUGCUUUUAAUGAUUGCUAUUAAUAAAGGGGUUAGAUUUCAUCUUUUCAA
Molecule: RNA transcript, 5166 nt
Organism: Cucumis melo (muskmelon)
Lineage: Eukaryota; Viridiplantae; Streptophyta; Magnoliopsida; Cucurbitales; Cucurbitaceae
Gene name: histidine kinase 3
Exons: 11
Source: RefSeq, a predicted model, not a curated record